AGUGAACGCUGGCGGUAGGCCUAACACAUGCAAGUCGAACGGCAGCACAGUAAGAGCUUGCUCUUACGGGUGGCGAGUGGCGGACGGGUGAGGAAUACAUCGGAAUCUACUUUUUCGUGGGGGAUAACGUAGGGAAACUUACGCUAAUACCGCAUACGACCUACGGGUGAAAGCAGGGGAUCUUCGGACCUUGCGCGAUUGAAUGAGCCGAUGUCGGAUUAGCUAGUUGGCGGGGUAAAGGCCCACCAAGGCGACGAUCCGUAGCUGGUCUGAGAGGAUGAUCAGCCGCACUGGAACGGAGACACGGUCCAGACUCCUACGGGAGGCAGCAGUGUGGAAUAUUGGACAAUGGGCGCAAGCCUGAUCCAGCCAUACCGCGUGGGUGAAGAAGGCCUUCGGGUUGUAAAGCCCUUUUGUUGGGAAAGAAAAGCAGCAGGUUAAUACCCCGCUGUUCUGACGGUACCCAAAGAAUAAGCACCGGCUAACUUCGUG
RNAcentral lists this ribosomal RNA (492 nucleotides) under uncultured bacterium. RNAcentral's name for it is "partial 16S ribosomal RNA". It matches the Rfam family "Bacterial small subunit ribosomal RNA", at positions 29 to 507 of the family's 1533-position model. The record is from RNAcentral.